GGGCACUUGGUCUAGGGGUAUGAUUUUCGCUUCGCAAUAACGAGCAACUCGUUAAUACGUCUGUGAAAGGUCAUGGGUUCAAUUCCCAUAGUGUCCA
Molecule: transfer RNA, 97 nt
Filed under: Microdochium bolleyi
Lineage: Eukaryota; Fungi; Ascomycota; Sordariomycetes; Xylariales; Microdochiaceae
Rfam family: tRNA
About the family: Transfer RNA (tRNA) molecules are approximately 80 nucleotides in length.
Source: Rfam by way of RNAcentral